Molecule: non-coding RNA, 91 nt
Organism: Triticum aestivum (bread wheat)
Lineage: Eukaryota; Viridiplantae; Streptophyta; Magnoliopsida; Poales; Poaceae
Source: Rfam
AUUGCUGUGACGAGUCGUAACUCAUAAGGAAACCAACCGAUCAAUUGGUUCUCCGAUGAAAUAUUAUUUUUACGCUUGGCUUCUGAGCUCA